UACGUAGGGGGCAAGCGUUGUCCGGAAUCAUUGGGCGUAAAGAGCGUGUAGGCGGCCCGAUAAGUCCGCCGUGAAAGUCCAGGGCUCAACCCUGGAAUGCCGGUGGAAACUGUCGGGCUGGAGUCCGGAAGAGGCGAGUGGAAGUUCCGUGGUGAUGAGCGGUGAAAUGCGCAGAUAUCAGGAGGAACACCGAGUGGCGAAGGCAGCUCGCUGGGACGGUACUGACG
Molecule: ribosomal RNA, 227 nt
Filed under: uncultured bacterium
Lineage: Bacteria
Description: partial 16S ribosomal RNA
Rfam family: Bacterial small subunit ribosomal RNA
Source: RNAcentral